CCCGAAGCAGCAUAGUUAAAGCAUACAUCCCGCCAAAAACAGUUUCGCAGGACCCUGUAUCUUCUUUUGACGAAGACAGCAAGGCUUCAUCCGAAGACGCAGUUGAUAUCCUAGUUGAUUUGGUCAAUGAGGGAGAAGAAAACGACGAUACUCAACAUGUUGUUCCAUGUGAGGCAAUUGCUGGACCGUCAGGGGUACAAAAUGACAACGUCACCGGGAGCGCCGAACCAAGGUCAGGGGGUUCAAACAAGG
This is a long non-coding RNA of Pecten maximus, 252 nucleotides long. RefSeq lists it as uncharacterized. The transcript is spliced from 4 exons. Lineage: Eukaryota; Metazoa; Mollusca; Bivalvia; Pectinida; Pectinidae. The record is from RefSeq and is a predicted model, not a curated record.